CUACGGGAGGCAGCAGUGGGGAAUAUUGGACAAUGGGCGCAAGCCUGAUCCAGCAAUGCCGCGUGAGUGAUGAAGGCCUUCGGGUUGUAAAGCUCUUUCGCACGCGACGAUGAUGACGGUAGCGUGAGAAGAAGCCCCGGCUAACUUCGUGCCAGCAGCCGCGGUAAUACGAAGGGGGCUAGCGUUGUUCGGAAUUACUGGGCGUAAAGGGCGCGUAGGCGGUACUUCAAGUCAGGCGUGAAAGCCCCGGGCUCAACCUGGGAACCGCCCUUGAGACUGGAGAACUAGAGUUCGGGAGAGGAUGGUGGAAUUCCCAGUGUAGAGGUGAAAUUCGUAGAUAUUGGGAAGAACNCCGAUGGCGAAGGCAGCCAUCUGGACCGACACUGACGCUGAGGCGCGAAAGCGUGGGGAGCAAACAGGAUUAGAUACCCUGGUAGUCCACGCCGUAAACGAUGAGUGCUAGACGUUGGGGUCCUUAGGGCUU
Molecule: ribosomal RNA, 484 nt
Filed under: uncultured Alphaproteobacteria bacterium
Lineage: Bacteria; Pseudomonadati; Pseudomonadota; Alphaproteobacteria
Description: bacterial SSU rRNA
Rfam family: Bacterial small subunit ribosomal RNA
Source: RNAcentral